GACGAACGCUGGCGGCGUGCUUAACACAUGCAAGUCGAACGGAAAGGCCCUGCUUGCAGGGUGCUCGAGUGGCGAACGGGUGAGUAACACGUGGGUGAUCUGCCCCUUACUUUGGGAUAAGCCUGGGAAACUGGGUCUAAUACUGGCUAGGACCAUGCUGUAGGCGGAGUGGUGGAAAGAUUAGUUUCGGUAAGGGAUGAGCUCGCGGCCUAUCAGCUCGUCGGUGGGGUAAUGGUCUACUAAGGCGUCGGCGGGUAGCCGGCCUGAAGGGGUGUGCGGCACCAUUGAGACUGCGAUGGGAGGCAGACGCCGGCGAGAGGCAGCAGUGGGGAAAAUUGCACAAGAGGCGCGAGCCGUAUGCGGCGACGGCGCGUGGGGCGUGACGGCCUUCGGGUUGUAAACUCCUUUUAGCCAUGACAAAGCGCUUGUGGUGACGGUAGUGGUAGAAGAAGCACCGGCUAACUACGUG
Molecule: ribosomal RNA, 469 nt
Filed under: uncultured bacterium
Lineage: Bacteria
Description: partial 16S ribosomal RNA
Rfam family: Bacterial small subunit ribosomal RNA
Source: RNAcentral